RNAcentral lists this long non-coding RNA (1107 nucleotides) under Pan troglodytes (chimpanzee). RNAcentral describes it as "long non-coding RNA NONPTRT006617". Lineage: Eukaryota; Metazoa; Chordata; Mammalia; Primates; Hominidae. The record is from RNAcentral.
CAAAAUUCAGGUGUUCAAGCCUUAACCCCCAAUGAGGCUAUAUGUGGCCAUAGUGAUGAGGCCUUGAUCCAACAGGAUCAGUGUCCUUGUAAGAAGAAACACGAGAAAUCUGACUCCCUGAUGCUCUUCCCCAGCUUGAAUGCACCAAGGAAAGGCCAUUUGUGGGGACAUAGCGAGAAGGCAGCUGUCUGCAAGCCAGGAGGAGAACCCUCACCAGAAACCUCACAGAAAUCGGCCAGCACCCUCAUCUCGGGCUUCCAGCUUCAGAACAACGAGAAAACAAAUUUCUGUGGUGUCCUGGUUCCCAUUUGUAAUUGGCACCCUAAUGAAACCGUUUUCUGUAGCCCUGGAAAUGGCUGAAAAUGAGGGGAGGGAAAUAAAGUGCUAUAAUUCAGAGCAUGGAGCACACCUUCCUGGUUCACCUGAGUUGGAUUCGGAGAGGUAAAAUGGCCAUUACCUCGUCUAAGCUGCCACUUACAGACACAGUACAGGAUGAGGCCCAGGCCCACAGAGACAACGAUGAUGGCCACAGCUAAGAUGAUCCAGAAAUUAUUCCUCCACCAGCUCAUUGCAGUGGAAUCCUGAGAAGAAUGGAGAGAGAAGAAUGAGGCCUCCUGGAGUCACAAAGCCUGGAGCAACAGGAGAGCCACUAAAGAAGACGGAACAGCUAGUUCCUGCCUUAAUGAUUAACCGACCUCGCAACAGUCCACCUUGUGAUAUGUUCCUGCCCUACCCUAACUAAUCCAUCCACCUUGUGAUAUGUUCCUGCCCUACCCUAACUAAUCCAUCCACCGCUGUGACAUGUUCCUGCCCUACCCUAACUAAUCCAUCCACUUUGUGAUAUGUUCCUUCCCUACCCUAACUAAUCCAUCCACCUUGUGAUAUGUUCCUGCCCUUCCCCAACUAAUCCAUCCACCUUGUGAUAUCGUGCCUUGUGACUUCCCCCACCUUGUGACUAUCCACCUUGUAACAUUCUUCCCCUGCCCAAAAAAACUGCCCCUAACUGUAACUUUCCACUACCUACCCCAAACCUAUAGAACCAGUUCCACUCCCACCACCCUUCGCUGACUCCUUUCUCUGACUCGGCCCACUUGCACCCAAGUGAAU